This is a long non-coding RNA of Manduca sexta (tobacco hornworm), 1073 nucleotides long. RefSeq lists it as uncharacterized. The transcript has 4 exons. Lineage: Eukaryota; Metazoa; Arthropoda; Insecta; Lepidoptera; Sphingidae. The record is from RefSeq and is a predicted model, not a curated record.
AACUAAUGAGGAAUAUGGAAAUAACUAACUACCUAGUUAGAUAUUUCCAUUUUCCUUUUCCCGGGCACCUUCCCGGGGAAGUGAGGUUCAGUGACGUUAUAUGGUAGACAAAUAUCAAUAGAUAUAAUAUGAACAGUAUUUUAGACACUAUUUUAUUUGUCGAUAGUAUGUUAUGGCCGCAUUGUGUCCCUUAAAUCGCCAGAAUUAGCCUAAAGUGUUAUGAAAUAUGCACCAGCAUUUCAGCUCUAUGGUUUUUCACAAUGUAUACGAUUACUAUCUUGUCAAGUGCUAAAGUAUAGUGUCAUUUACUAUUUAUCUCUAUCAGCUUAUGGUUUUAAAAGGAGGUCGGCCCGCGCCCAAGCAGUUGAAUAACCGCCAAUCAUAGAUGUCCUUAUCUACUAAUUUACUGACAGAUAAGCUGUUGGUUUAUAAUCAGCGUGCAGUGUGGCGGGAGACGCCGCGGUCGCACCAUGUGCUUGUCGUUGAACUACUUCUGUUGCUGCUUCAGUUUGAGUGCAGGCGCUAAGAUUGUCAGUGUAGUCAGCACUUUAUGUUCAGCAGCAUCAGUAGUCUUAUACGGCACUCCCGCGGCGCUCCAGUACUCCUCGCUGCCUCCCGGUCGACUCAUCUUCUACAGCUGCGUCGCCAGCGUGGGACUACUGCAGACCAUCUUCGGGUGUCUGCUAAUACACGGCACUUUUAGGAAAAGCCGCGGUAUCUGUGGCCGUGGCUGGUGCUGUCGUGGUCGGUGUGCGCGGCGCUGGUGGUGCUGAGCGUGACCGGCACCGUGCUGCUGCGGUACAACAAGAAGGUGGAAGACAACGCCGAGAUCAGCACCAUCAUCGCCCUAUACUUUCUUACUUCUAUAAUCUUAUUCUACUUCGUGUCGGUGGUAUCCAGUCGGCGACAUCAGAUGGUGCAAGACGACUACAAGUACUUGUCCAAACGACUCGUCAAGCGAGCAACCAGCUACUACUACUAGUUUACUGAAACCAUUAGGAGGAUGAUCUCAUUACAUUAGACAGGUGGAAUUUGUACUAUUUAUUACCAAAUACAUAUGAAGCUAUUCUAUA